GGACUGCAAGGGGCACUGAGGUUCAUGCCCACUGCAGCUGGAAGGGUGAAGGGAGGGGGCUGGCAGUGGGAGGAGGAGGGGCCAAACAUCCAGAAGGGCUCAGAGGAUGGACCGAGCACAUCCACAGCCUGGCUCCGGGAGCAAGCCCACUGGCCUGCCUGCCUUUUCUUUCCUUCCUUCCUCGGCAACAUGCAGUUCCCCAGAGCCAGGCUCUGUCUGCUCGUCAAGGGAGCUUCUCGUGGGAAAACCUCUUCAGCUGCCUUUCAUUUGUAGAGUUUAGGGUGACUGCAUCCUUCGUGGGCUUCGGCUAAUGCUGAGACAUCGUGGAUUUGAGAGUCCUUCAUCUUUCUUGCCAGAUGCUUGUUAAGGAUCUGUCGUGUGUCAGGCGCUGUGUGAAGUCCUGAGGACAGAGGUGGUUACAGGAUUCGCACUGUGGUCUGGAAGGGCAAAGGCAAGAAGAUGAACCGUGGUGGACAGGAUGGUACCGUGGAGAUGACCACGGGUGUUUGGAGGCAGAGUCACCAGCAUGACCUCGGGGCUUCUGUCACCCAGUGCCUUGACGCCUGGUCCACACAUGGACCUUGCUCAUUUCAUGUGCACACGCUCACUUUGUCCUUCCCCUCUGUGGGUUAUUUUGCAGUGAGUCUCAGGCAUGUAGCCUUCCGUGCACAAAGAUCUCAUUAUGUAUCUCUCUGUGACGGUGCCCUUUACAGACGUGAGCCCGGUAGUAUUAUCACACCUGGAAAAAGCAGUCCUUCCUGCAUAACACCUGUAACCCAGCAGGCGUUUAAAUUGCCUGGUUGGUCUCAUUAAAGGAAAAGCAAACUGUUGGUUUCAAUCAGGCUACAAACAAGACCAUGUAGUUGAACAAUCUUAAAAUUUCUUAAUAAAAGACUGCGACCGUUCUUAGAGUUUGUUCUGCAAUUCUGCAUUUGAGCUUUACUUGGUUGCCCGCCUCUGUCCCUGAUCUGCUGAAAUCAGUAGCUUUCCUAAGUUUCAUGGAAACAUUUGUAAGAUUUUGAGCAUCUUUAUCUGUCUUGCCUUUACAAGUGCCUGUAAAUAGUCAUUUAUUCCUUCUCUCUCUUUUCUUGGUACUAGGGAUCAAACUCAGGACCUUGCGCUUGCAAGGCGGGCAGCAGCACCACUGAGCUAAAUCCCCAGCCCUCCCUCUUGAUAAGUAUUUCUUUUUCUCUCUUGUAAUACUUGAGAUUGAAUGCAGGGCCUUUGCCCUGAGCUGUAUCUCCAGUCCUUUUUAAAAUUUUUAUUUCAAGACAGGGUAAUUUCUAAGCUGCCCAGGCUGGGCUCAGACUUUCAAUCCUCCUGCUUCAGCCUCCCAGGGUGUUGGGCUUAUAGGUGUGUGACCCCCUGCCCAGACAGGCACCAAAUCAG
Molecule: long non-coding RNA, 1389 nt
Organism: Heterocephalus glaber (naked mole-rat)
Lineage: Eukaryota; Metazoa; Chordata; Mammalia; Rodentia; Bathyergidae
Source: Ensembl